This 507-nucleotide long non-coding RNA is filed under the name Lupinus angustifolius (narrow-leaved blue lupine). Its description in RNAcentral is "long non-coding RNA (LANG_LNC002372)". The record is from RNAcentral. Lineage: Eukaryota; Viridiplantae; Streptophyta; Magnoliopsida; Fabales; Fabaceae.
GGGAGAGUGAACUGGUGGUGGUGGAGAGUGGACUGGUGGUGGUGGAGAGUGGACUGGUGGUGGUGGAGAAUGGACAGGUGGUGAUGGGGAAUUAACUGGUGGAGGGGGUAGUAAGCGAACAGGUGGUGGUGGGAAGUUGACUGCUGGAGGAGGUGGUGAGUGGACGGGGGGUGGUGGGGAGUUCACCGGUGGAGGUGGUGAGUGGACAGGGGGCGGUGGAGAAUGGACUGGUGGGGGCGGGGAGUGGACUGGUGGAGGAGGAGAAUGUGUUGGUGGUGGAGUCCUUGGUCGUCCUCUGGGUGCUUCUUUGUGAGGAUCAUCCUCCUGAGGUGGUGGUGGUGAUGAUUGAGGUGUUUCUGGUGGGUGUGGUUUAGGUGUUUGUGGUGUGGAUGGUGGCUCUCCUUUAGGUGUUUCUGGUGUGGGAGGUGAUUGUGUUUCUGGUGUGGGUGGAGGUGUUGCCUUCGGCAUUUCCGGUGUAGGUGCUGGUUGUGUUUCAGGUGUUUGUGG